This 624-nucleotide long non-coding RNA is filed under the name Capsella rubella. RNAcentral describes it as "long non-coding RNA (CRUB_LNC000240)". Lineage: Eukaryota; Viridiplantae; Streptophyta; Magnoliopsida; Brassicales; Brassicaceae. The record is from RNAcentral.
AAAUAACAACACAAAACCCUUCUCAAUGUUUCCUCUUAUCUUCCUCUGCACUUUCAUCUCUCUCUCUUCCUCUGUACUUAAAGCUUCCUUUGUUACGCAAAUCUUUUUUUCCUUCUCCAACGCAAGUUUUGGCUUUAGACACUCGCCGUCUCCAUUUUCUCGCUGUUCGCCGUAAACCCAUCCCAUUCGUUAAAACUCCGGUUGUCUCCGGCGUAGCUUUCGGCUUGGGUCAAUACUUAGUGAAUCUUCAAACCGGACAAUCGGCUCAGUUGUUGCUUCUUUUCAUAUAUUGAAUAAACAAUUUCAUGAGAUAUAUGUAACAAAUCCCAAAAGGAAUAGGCAUAAUAUGUAAAGCCCAUUUAAAAACCUGGCUUUUACUUCUUUUCACAAUAGAUUGAACCUUGGUUAUUUUGCUCCUUUAAUUAAUUUGGUUUGCGCGCGGGUCGUCGGAUUAACGGGUCGGGUAAUCGAUUUUUUCUCUGAAAUUCCACAAUUUACCCUCUCUAAUUUGGAUUACUAUUUUCCCUUGACAAAGAUUGAAGGGUAAUUUUGAAAAUUUUUGGUCAAUUAUUGGGAACGCUAAAUGUGUAAUUCUCUUUUAAUAUAUACCAGAAUAUAAAAUUU